Molecule: ribosomal RNA, 292 nt
Filed under: uncultured bacterium
Lineage: Bacteria
Description: partial 16S ribosomal RNA
Rfam family: Bacterial small subunit ribosomal RNA
Source: RNAcentral
GUGUCAGCAGCCGCGGUAACACGUAGGAGGCAAGCGUUAUCCGGAUUUACUGGGCGUAAGGCGCGUGCAGGUGGUUCGGUAAGUUGGAUGUGAAAGCUCCUGGCUCAACUGGGAGAGGUCGUUCAAAACUACCGAACUUGAGAACAGUAGAGGAAGGUGGAAUUCCCGGUGUAGUGGUGAAAUGCGUAGAUAUCGGGAGGAACACCAGUGGCGAAAGCGGCCUUCUGGACUGUUUCUGACACUCAGACGCGAAAGCUAGGGUAGCAAACGGGAUUAGAAACCCUCGUAGUCC